Molecule: ribosomal RNA, 479 nt
Filed under: uncultured bacterium
Lineage: Bacteria
Description: bacterial SSU rRNA
Rfam family: Bacterial small subunit ribosomal RNA
Source: RNAcentral
GAUGAACGCUAGCGGCAGGCUUAACACAUGCAAGUCGAGGGGUAUAUUUCUUCGGAGAUAGAGACCGGCGCACGGGUGCGUAACGCGUAUGCAAUCUACCUUUUACAGAGGGAUAGCCCAGAGAAAUUUGGAUUAAUACCUCAUAGUAUGCAGAGUUGGCAUCAACACUGCAUUAAAGUCACAACGGUAAAAGAUGAGCAUGCGUCCCAUUAGCUAGUUGGUAAGGUAACGGCUUACCAAGGCUACGAUGGGUAGGGGUCCUGAGAGGGAGAUCCCCCACACUGGUACUGAGACACGGACCAGACUCCUACGGGAGGCAGCAGUGAGGAAUAUUGGACAAUGGGCGCAAGCCUGAUCCAGCCAUGCCGCGUGCAGGAUGACGGUCCUAUGGAUUGUAAACUGCUUUUGCACAGGAAGAAACAACGCUACGUGUAGCGUCUUGACGGUACUGUGAGAAUAAGGAUCGGCUAACUCCGUGC